CCCAGACUCCUACGGGAGGCAGCAGUGGGGAAUAUUGCACAAUGGGGGAAACCCUGAUGCAGCAACGCCGCGUGAGUGAGGAAGUAUUUCGGUAUGUAAAGCUCUAUCAGCAGGGAAUAGAAAAGAAGGUACCUGAAAAAGAAGCCCCGGCUAACUACGUGCCAGCAGCCGCGGUAAUACGUAGGGGGCAGGCGUUAUCCGGAUUUACUGGGUGUAAAGGGAGCGUAGGUGGCAUGGCAAGCCAGAAGUGAAAACCCGGGGCUUAACCCCGCGGAUUGCUUUUGGAACUGUCAGGCUGGAGUGCAGGAGGGGCAGGCGGAAUUCCUGGUGUAGCGGUGAAAUGCGUAGAUAUCAGGAGGAACACCGGUGGCGAAGGCGGCCUGCUGGACUGUAACUGACACUGAGGCUCGAAAGCGUGGGGAGCAAACAGGAUUAGAUACCCCCGUA
Molecule: ribosomal RNA, 447 nt
Filed under: uncultured bacterium
Lineage: Bacteria
Description: bacterial SSU rRNA
Rfam family: Bacterial small subunit ribosomal RNA
Source: RNAcentral